CCCACCUCAGCUGUGUGGCUGUUGCCUUUCCUCCUCCUAUCCCAGAUCAACCUAGUAACAUCCAAAUGCUUACCCUCAGUAUCCAGAAACAGGUCUGGCAGCCAAAAUGAGAAAACUGAGCCUGAAAGAGAUGAAGCUACCUGUCUGUGAGCUGGAGAUACUAAAGGACUUGUCUGAAGUCACACAGUACAUUGUGGAAAUCCCUACAAAUCAACUGGUGUAUAUCCAACACAUCCUUUUUCAUGGCUGCAUAAUAUUUCACGACCACGGUUGGCCCCGGGUAAUUGAAACCAUGGAAAACGAAACUGCAAAUAAGGGGAGGAAGGAACACCUCUAUAUUCAUAUAUAUACUAUCUUCCAAAGGUGUACACACAAAUACACGUAAUUUUU
Molecule: long non-coding RNA, 390 nt
Organism: Rhinolophus ferrumequinum (greater horseshoe bat)
Lineage: Eukaryota; Metazoa; Chordata; Mammalia; Chiroptera; Rhinolophidae
Exons: 4
Source: RefSeq, a predicted model, not a curated record